CAGCCGCCGCGGGAAUACGGAGGGGGCUAGCGUUGUUCGGAAUUACUGGGCGUAAAGCGCACGUAGGCGGCUUUGUAAGUUAGAGGUGAAAGCCCGGAGCUCAACUCCGGAAUUGCCUUUAAGACUGCAGAGCUAGCAGGUGAGAGAGGUGAGUGGAAUUCCACGUGUAGCAGUGAAAUGCGUAGAGAUGUGGAGGAAUACCGAUGGCGAAGGCAGCCCCCUGGGCCAAUACUGACGCUCAUGCACGAAAGCGUGGGGAGCAAACAGGAUUAGAUACCCCCGUAGUCCCUGUCUCUUAUAC
RNAcentral lists this ribosomal RNA (301 nucleotides) under uncultured bacterium. RNAcentral's name for it is "partial 16S ribosomal RNA". It matches the Rfam family "Bacterial small subunit ribosomal RNA", at positions 509 to 807 of the family's 1533-position model. The record is from RNAcentral.